RNAcentral lists this non-coding RNA (45 nucleotides) under Schistosoma haematobium. Lineage: Eukaryota; Metazoa; Platyhelminthes; Trematoda; Strigeidida; Schistosomatidae. The record is from RNAcentral.
AUUCAGCCAACGAGUCUCAAAUGGGACGAAGCGUGCGUCCUGGAU